UGGGGGAUAUUGCACAAUGGGCGAAAGCCUGAUGCAGCGACGCCGCGUGGGGGAUGAAGGCCUUCGGGUUGUAAACUUCUUUUGCUCUGAACAAGGCAUGCUAAUGGGUGUGUUGAGUGUAGGGGUUGAUUAGCGCCGGCUAACUACGUGCCAGCAGCCGCGGUAAUACGUAGGGCGCGAGCGUUGUCCGGAAUUAUUGGGCGUAAAGGGCUUGUAGGUGGCUGGUUGCGUCUGUCGUGAAAGCUCAUGGCUUAACUGUGGGUUUGCGGUGGGUACGGGCUGGCUUGAGUGCAGUAGGGGAGGCUGGAAUUCCUGGUGUAGCGGUGGAAUGCGCAGAUAUCAGGAAGAAAACCGGUGGCGAAGGCGGGUCUCUGGGCUGUUACUGACACUGAGGAGCGAAAGCAUGGGGAGCGAACAGG
Molecule: ribosomal RNA, 419 nt
Filed under: bacterium
Lineage: Bacteria
Description: partial 16S ribosomal RNA
Rfam family: Bacterial small subunit ribosomal RNA
Source: RNAcentral